Molecule: ribosomal RNA, 294 nt
Filed under: uncultured bacterium
Lineage: Bacteria
Description: partial 16S ribosomal RNA
Rfam family: Bacterial small subunit ribosomal RNA
Source: RNAcentral
UGCCAGCAGCCGCGGUAAUACAGAGGGUGCAAGCGUUAAUCGGAAUUACUGGGCGUAAAGCGCGCGUAGGUGGUUUGUUAAGUUGAAUGUGAAAUCCCCGGGCUCAACCUGGGAACUGCAUCCGAAACUGGCAGGCUAGAGUCUUGUAGAGGGGGGUAGAAUUCCAGGUGUAGCGGUGAAAUGCGUAGAGAUCUGGAGGAAUACCGGUGGCGAAGGCGGCCCCCUGGACAAAGACUGACGCUCAGGUGCGAAAGCGUGGGGAGCAAACAGGAUUAGAUACCCUGGUAGUCCACG